GCUUUCGUGGUGCAAUGGUAGCACACUGGGCGAGUAUUCGAGAGGUUCAGGUUCGAAUCCUGGCAAGGGCA
This 71-nucleotide transfer RNA is filed under the name Stegodyphus mimosarum. It matches the Rfam family "tRNA". From Rfam's summary of the family: Transfer RNA (tRNA) molecules are approximately 80 nucleotides in length. Their secondary structure includes four short double-helical elements and three loops (D, anti-codon, and T loops). Lineage: Eukaryota; Metazoa; Arthropoda; Arachnida; Araneae; Eresidae. The record is from Rfam by way of RNAcentral.